Molecule: transfer-messenger RNA, 355 nt
Filed under: Bacilli
Lineage: Bacteria; Bacillati; Bacillota
Also listed under: 1 other name
Description: Bacillus_H lonarensis Standard tmRNA
Rfam family: transfer-messenger RNA
About the family: Bacterial tmRNA, also known as 10Sa RNA or SsrA, is named for its dual tRNA and mRNA-like properties. Its role is to liberate the mRNA from a stalled ribosome.
Source: RNAcentral
GGGGACGUUUUGGAUUCGACAGGAAUAGGUCGAGCUUGCGUGGCAAGUCGAGGGGUCGGCCUCGUUAAAACGCACUAGCCAAUAACUGGCAAACAAGAAAACAACUUCGCUUUAGCUGCAUAAGCUAAGCGGCUUCUCCUCACCAUCACCCAUGUGGUGUGGUUGAAGCUCAACUUUAGUGGGAUACGCCUUGCCCUCGCCGUCUGAGGGAGCGGGAAGAGAUUAAUCAGACUAGCUACAUGGAAGCCUGUCUUUGGGCUGAUGUGUUAGUGAAAUGCUAAUACAAAGACUAUGCUUGUAGAAGCGUAAGUGUCGUUAUUUCUGGACGUGGGUUCAAUUCCCACCGUCUCCAUUU